Molecule: long non-coding RNA, 207 nt
Organism: Humulus lupulus (European hop)
Lineage: Eukaryota; Viridiplantae; Streptophyta; Magnoliopsida; Rosales; Cannabaceae
Exons: 3
Source: RefSeq, a predicted model, not a curated record
UUGGUGAACACAGGAAAGGAGAGGGCAAAAGUCAGCCUUCUUUUUACAUGGGCGGAAGGCAAUGUUGCCAACCAGAGGGAACAUCUAAUUCUUCUCCUUGCCAAUAUUCACAUUCAGAAAGCUAAUAAGCAGUCUGUCUUGAAUAGUUAUACACAGUAUAUCCCUUUGCCAAUCAGUGACCUUGAUUCUUGGUUGAAGACACCCUCC